This 516-nucleotide ribosomal RNA is filed under the name uncultured bacterium. Its description in RNAcentral is "bacterial SSU rRNA". It matches the Rfam family "Bacterial small subunit ribosomal RNA", at positions 30 to 507 of the family's 1533-position model. The record is from RNAcentral.
CGAACGCUGGCGGCGUGCCUAAUACAUGCAAGUCGAACGCACUUUCGUUAGAUUGAAGAAGCUUGCUUCUGAUUGAUAACAUUUGAGUGAGUGGCGGACGGGUGAGUAACACGUGGGUAACCUGCCCUAAAGUGGGGGAUAACAUUUGGAAACAGAUGCUAAUACCGCAUAAAACCUAGCACCGCAUGGUGCAAGGUUGAAAGAUGGUUUCGGCUAUCACUUUAGGAUGGACCCGCGGUGCAUUAGUUAGUUGGUGAGGUAAAGGCUCACCAAGACCGUGAUGCAUAGCCGACCUGAGAGGGUAAUCGGCCACACUGGGACUGAGACACGGCCCAGACUCCUACGGGAGGCAGCAGUAGGGAAUCUUCCACAAUGGACGAAAGUCUGAUGGAGCAACGCCGCGUGAGUGAAGAAGGUUUUCGGAUCGUAAAACUCUGUUGUUGGAGAAGAACGUAUUUGAUAGUAACUGAUCAGGUAGUGACGGUAUCCAACCAGAAAGCCACGGCUAACUACGUG